GAUCAUGGCUCAGGAUGAACGCUAGCUACAGGCUUAACACAUGCAAGUCGAGGGGCAGCAUGGACCCAGCUUUGCUGGGUUUGAUGGCGACCAGCGCACGGGUGAGUAACGCGUAUCCAACCUGCACUUUACUCCGGGAUAGUCUCCUGAAAGGGAGUUUAAUACCGGAUGUGUUUGUCUUUCCGCAUGGGAGCGACAAAUAAAGAUUGAUUGGUAAAGGAUGGGGAUGCGUCCCAUUAG
This 240-nucleotide ribosomal RNA is filed under the name uncultured bacterium. RNAcentral describes it as "partial 16S ribosomal RNA". It matches the Rfam family "Bacterial small subunit ribosomal RNA", at positions 15 to 244 of the family's 1533-position model. The record is from RNAcentral.